This 319-nucleotide ribosomal RNA is filed under the name Theileria equi. Its description in RNAcentral is "SSU rRNA". It matches the Rfam family "Eukaryotic small subunit ribosomal RNA", at positions 102 to 433 of the family's 1831-position model. The record is from RNAcentral. Lineage: Eukaryota; Apicomplexa; Aconoidasida; Piroplasmida; Theileriidae.
UAAAACAGUUAUAGUUUAUUUGAUGUUUGUUUCUACAUGGAUAACCGUGCUAAUUGUAGGGCUAAUACAUGCUCGGGCUGUUUACAGUUGCGUUUAUUAGACCUAAAACCUCCCCGCUUUUGCGGUGUUUCGGUGAUUCAUAAUAAAUUAGCGAAUCGCAUGGCUUUGCCGGCGAUGUAUCAUUCAAGUUUCUGACCUAUCAGCUUUGGACGGUAGGGUAUUGGCCUACCGGGGCAACGACGGGUAACGGGGAAUUAGGGUUCGAUUCCGGAGAGGGAGCCUGAGAAACGGCUACCACAUCUAAGGAAGGCAGCAGGCA